GGGGCUGAUUCUGGAUUCGACGGGAUUCGCGAAACCCAAGGUGCAUGCCGAGGGGCGGUUGGCCUCGUAAAAAGCCGCAAAAAAAUAGUCGCAAACGACGAAAACUACGCUUUAGCAGCUUAAUAACCUGCUUAGAGCCCUCUCUCCCUAGCCUCCGCUCUUAGGACGGGGAUCAAGAGAGGUCAAACCCAAAAGAGAUCGCGUGGAUGCCCUGCCUGGGGUUGAAGCGUUAAAACUAAUCAGGCUAGUUUGUUAGUGGCGUGUCCGUCCGCAGCCGGCAAGCGAAAUUAAAGACUGGACUAAGCAUGUAGUACCGAGGAUGUAGGAAUUUCGGACGCGGGUUCAACUCCCGCCAGCUCCACCA
Molecule: transfer-messenger RNA, 364 nt
Filed under: Enterobacteriaceae (enterobacteria)
Lineage: Bacteria; Pseudomonadati; Pseudomonadota; Gammaproteobacteria; Enterobacterales
Also listed under: 11 other names
Description: Kosakonia sp000410515 Standard tmRNA
Rfam family: transfer-messenger RNA
About the family: Bacterial tmRNA, also known as 10Sa RNA or SsrA, is named for its dual tRNA and mRNA-like properties. Its role is to liberate the mRNA from a stalled ribosome. To accomplish this part of the tmRNA is used as a reading frame that ends in a translation stop signal.
Source: RNAcentral